UGCCAGACUCCUACGGGAGGCAGCAGUGAGGAAUAUUGGUCAAUGGGCGAGAGCCUGAACCAGCCAAGUCGCGUGAGGGAGUACUGCCCUAUGGGUUGUAAACCUCUUUUGUCGGGGAGCAAAAGCCGGACGUGUCCGGCUGUGAGAGUACCCGAAGAAAAAGCAUCGGCUAACUCCGUGCCAGCAGCCGCGGUAAUACGGAGGAUCCGAGCGUUAUCCGGAUUUAUUGGGCUUAAAGGGUGCGUAGGCGGUUUGAUAAGUUAGAGGUGAAAUGUCGGGGCUCAACCCCGAAACUGCCUCUAAUACUGUUGGACUAGAGAAUAGUUGCGGUAGGCGGAAUGUAUGGUGUAGCGGUGAAAUGCCUAGAGAUCAUACAGAACACCGAUUGCGAAGGCAGCUUACCAAACUAUAUCUGACGUUGAGGCACGAAAGCGUGGGUAGCAAACAGGAUUAGAUACCCUCGUAUG
Molecule: ribosomal RNA, 467 nt
Filed under: uncultured bacterium
Lineage: Bacteria
Description: bacterial SSU rRNA
Rfam family: Bacterial small subunit ribosomal RNA
Source: RNAcentral